GAAACGCGAUAUGUAAUGUGAAUUGCAGAUUUCAGUGAAUCAUCGAAUCUUUGAACGCACCUUGCACCCUUUGGUAUUCCGAAGGGUAUGCCUGUUUGAGUGUCUUUGAACCCUCUCGAUCCGGCUUCGGUCGGAUCGGUCGUUGAGCGUGUGCCGGUGUCGAGCCGGCUCGCUUGAAAUGGAUCAGCUGGACAGCGGUCCGGGCGGUCUCCGCCCGGCCAAAGGCCUCGUCCGUCGAACGUCAUAAUGUAUUUCGUUUGCCAGGGCGUGGGCGGGUCAGCUUCGAAAAUGGGGGGGGAUCACCUCCCCUUGACCUCAGACCUCAGAUCAGGUAGGACUACCCGCCGAACUUAA
This 354-nucleotide unclassified non-coding RNA is filed under the name uncultured fungus. RNAcentral describes it as "sequence contains ITS1". The stretch from base 1 to 105 matches the Rfam family "5.8S ribosomal RNA", at positions 50 to 154 of the family's 154-position model. Lineage: Eukaryota; Fungi. The record is from RNAcentral.